UACGUAGGGACCAAGCGUUGUUCGGAUUUACUGGGCGUAAAGGGCGCGUAGGCGGCUUUGCAAGUCGGGUGUGAAAUCCCCAGGCUUAACCUGGGAACUGCAUUCGAGACUGCAUUGCUAGAGUAUGGGAGAGGGAAGUGGAAUUUCCGGUGUAGCGGUGAAAUGCGUAGAUAUCGGAAGGAACAUCAGUGGCGAAAGCGACUUCCUGGACCAAUACUGACGCUCAUGUACGAAAGCGUGGGGAGCAAACAGG
Molecule: ribosomal RNA, 253 nt
Filed under: uncultured bacterium
Lineage: Bacteria
Description: partial 16S ribosomal RNA
Rfam family: Bacterial small subunit ribosomal RNA
Source: RNAcentral